Molecule: ribosomal RNA, 407 nt
Filed under: uncultured bacterium
Lineage: Bacteria
Description: partial 16S ribosomal RNA
Rfam family: Bacterial small subunit ribosomal RNA
Source: RNAcentral
AUUGAACGCUGGCGGCAGGCCUAACACAUGCAAGUCGAGCGGAGCGGCGGACGGGUGAGUCAUGCCUAGGAAUCUGCCUGGUAGUGGGGGAUAACGUCCGGAAACGGGCGCUAAUACCGCAUACUCUCAGAUGAGCCUAGGUAGGAUUAGCUAGUUGGGGGGGUAAAGGCCUACCACGGCGACGAUCCGUAACUGGUCUGAGAGGAUGAUCAGUCACACUGGAACUUAGACACGGUCCAGACUCCUACGGGAGGCAGCAGGGGGGAAUAUUGGACAAUGGGCGAAAGCCUGAUCCAGCCAUGCCGCGUGUGUGAAGAAGGUCUUCGGAUUGUAAAGCACUUUAAGUUGGGAGGCGUUACCAACAGAAUAAGCACCGGCUAACUUCGUGCCAGCAGCCGCGGUAAUUC